UUGGAUUUCUUCGGAAUGACGAUUUUUGUGACUGAGCGGCGGACGGGUGAGUAACGCGUGGGUAACCUGCCUCAUACAGGGGGAUAACAGUUAGAAAUGACUGCUAAUACCGCAUAAGACCCCAGCUUCGCAUGAAGCGGUGGUAAAAACUCCGGUGGUAUGAGAUGGACCCGCGUCUGAUUAGCUAGUUGGUAAGGUAACGGCUUACCAAGGCGACGAUCCGUAGCCGACCUGAGAGGGUGACCGGCCACAUUGGGACUGAGACACGGCCCAGACUCCUACGGGAGGCAGCAGUGGGGAAUAUUGCACAAUGGGGGAAACCCUGAUGCAGCGACGCCGCGUGAAGGAUGAAGUAUUUCGGUAUGUAAACUUCUAUCAGCAGGGAAGAAAGUGACGGUACCUGACUAAGAAGCCCCGGCUAACUACGUGCCAGCAGCCGCGGUAAUACGUAGGGGGCAAGCGUUAUCCGGAUUUACUGGGUGUAAAGGGAGCGUAGACGGGAUAGCAAGUCUGAAGUGAAAGCCCGGGGCUCAACCCCGGGACUGCUUUGGAAACUGUUUUGCUAGAGUGUCGGAGAGGUAAGUGGAAUUCCUAGUGUAGCGGUGAAAUGCGUAGAUAUUAGGAGGAACACCAGUGGCGAAGGCGGCUUACUGGACGAUAACUGACGUUGAGGCUCGAAAGCGUGGGGAGCAAAC
RNAcentral lists this ribosomal RNA (695 nucleotides) under uncultured Lachnospiraceae bacterium. RNAcentral's name for it is "bacterial SSU rRNA". It matches the Rfam family "Bacterial small subunit ribosomal RNA", at positions 67 to 773 of the family's 1533-position model. The record is from RNAcentral. Lineage: Bacteria; Bacillati; Bacillota; Clostridia; Lachnospirales; Lachnospiraceae.